UCGCAAUGAUGAAUGGCCCAUACAUUCACGGUUUCCACCAGAAUUCCACCAGAUGUGUUAGCAACUAGCUUUCUUCUUUGGACGUCUGAGUGA
This 93-nucleotide small nucleolar RNA is filed under the name Pteropus vampyrus (large flying fox). Its description in RNAcentral is "Small nucleolar RNA SNORD14 (ENSPVAG00000025078.1)". The record is from RNAcentral. Lineage: Eukaryota; Metazoa; Chordata; Mammalia; Chiroptera; Pteropodidae.